RNAcentral lists this ribosomal RNA (497 nucleotides) under uncultured bacterium. Its description in RNAcentral is "partial 16S ribosomal RNA". It matches the Rfam family "Bacterial small subunit ribosomal RNA", at positions 28 to 507 of the family's 1533-position model. The record is from RNAcentral.
GAUGAACGCUGGCGGCGUGCCUAAUACAUGCAAGUCGAGCGAACGGACGAGAAGCUUGCUUCUCUGAUGUUAGCGGCGGACGGGUGAGUAACACGUGGAUAACCUACCUAUAAGACUGGGAUAACUUCGGGAAACCGGAGCUAAUACCGGAUAAUAUUUUGAACCGCAUGGUUCAAAAGUAAAAGACGGUCUUUCUGUCACUUAUAGAUGGAUCUGCGCUGCAUUAGCUAGUUGGUAAGGUAACGGCUUACCAAGGCAACGAUGCAUAGCCGACCUGAGAGGGUGAUCGGCGACACUAGAGCGUGGACACGGUCAUGGCUCCUGCGGGAGGCAGCAGUAGGGAAUCUUCCGCAGUGGGCGAGAACAUGACAGAGCAACGCCGCGUGUGUGAUAGAGACCUUCGGAUCGUAAAACUCUGUUAUUAGUGAAGAACAUAUGUGUAAGUAACUGUACACAUCGUGACGGUACCUAAUCAGAAAGCCACGGCUAACUACGUG